RNAcentral lists this ribosomal RNA (316 nucleotides) under uncultured Paracercomonas. Its description in RNAcentral is "SSU rRNA". The stretch from base 105 to 316 matches the Rfam family "Eukaryotic small subunit ribosomal RNA", at positions 741 to 955 of the family's 1831-position model. Lineage: Eukaryota; Cercozoa; Cercomonadida; Cercomonadidae. The record is from RNAcentral.
GAUUUCUGGUACGGUGCGCGUGGCCCGCCAUCGAAAGGUGUGCGAGUGUCGCUUGUGCGUCUACCAUCUCUUGUAGCUAGGGUGUCUCUCUCCAGGGGCAUCUGAACUACAUCGUUUACUUUGAAGAAAUUAGAGUGUUCAAAGCGGGCUUGCGCAUGAAUAUAUUAGCAUGGAAUAAUAAUUUAGGACUUCUGUUCUAUUUUGUUGGUUUCUAGGAUGGAAGUAAUGAUUGAUAGGGAUAGUUGGGGGUGCUAGUAUUCCGCGGCCAGAGGUGAAAUUCUUGGAUUCGCGGAAGACUAACUUAUGCGAAAGCAUU